This 91-nucleotide ribosomal RNA is filed under the name Aphidius colemani. RNAcentral describes it as "partial 5.8S ribosomal RNA". It matches the Rfam family "5.8S ribosomal RNA", at positions 66 to 154 of the family's 154-position model. From Rfam's summary of the family: 5.8S ribosomal RNA (5.8S rRNA) is a component of the large subunit of the eukaryotic ribosome. It is transcribed by RNA polymerase I as part of the 45S precursor that also contains 18S and 28S rRNA. The record is from RNAcentral. Lineage: Eukaryota; Metazoa; Arthropoda; Insecta; Hymenoptera; Braconidae.
UGUGAACUGCAGGACACAUGAACAUCGACAUUUUGAACGCACAUUGCGGUCCACGGAUCCAAUUCCCGGACCACACCUAGCUGAGGGUCGU